AUGCACGCUGGCGGCGUGCCUCAUACCUGCCAGUCGCGCGAACAGACGAGGAGCUUGCUCCUCUGACGUUAGCGGCGGACGGGUGAGUAACACGUGGAUAACCUACCUAUAAGACUGGGAUAACUUCGGGAAACCGGAGCUAAUACCGGACAAUAUAUUGAACCGCAUGGUUCAAUAGUGAAAGACGGUUUUGCUGUCACUUAUAGAUGGAUCCGCGCCGCAUUAGCUAGUUGGUAAGGUAACGGCUUACCAAGGCAACGAUGCGUAGCCGACCUGAGAGGGUGAUCGGCCACACUGGAACUGAGACACGGUCCAGACUCCUACGGGAGGCAGCAGUAGGGAAUCUUCCGCAAUGGGCGAAAGCCUGACGGAGCAACGCCGCGUGAGUGAUGAAGGUCUUCGGAUCGUAAAACUCUGUUAUUAGGGAAGAACAAAUGUGUAAGUAACUAUGCACGUCUUGACGGUACCUAAUCAGAAAGCCACGGCUAACUACGUG
This 496-nucleotide ribosomal RNA is filed under the name uncultured bacterium. RNAcentral describes it as "partial 16S ribosomal RNA". It matches the Rfam family "Bacterial small subunit ribosomal RNA", at positions 29 to 507 of the family's 1533-position model. The record is from RNAcentral.